Long non-coding RNA from Carassius auratus (goldfish), 859 nucleotides. RefSeq lists it as uncharacterized. Lineage: Eukaryota; Metazoa; Chordata; Actinopteri; Cypriniformes; Cyprinidae. The transcript is spliced from 3 exons. The record is from RefSeq and is a predicted model, not a curated record.
UUAGGAGCACAAACAGACAGAAGCAUAGCCUUCUCUGUUAAAUUCACCCAGUAGCUGCUUUGGCCUGGUUUGUUGUUUAUAGUGUUUGAAUACACUUUUACAUUAUAUGACACUAGUAAGGGAUUGGAAUCCAAGGGAGAGAAAACCAGAGGGAAAACUAGAUAAAUAAAUGAACAAGUUUAAUCCACUCAGGUGUUUCUCGUGGGGAAAUGGAGGGAGGGUACUUACUAACUACUGAGCUGUUUAAUUAGGUGCCUUGCUGCUUGUUAAUGAGGGUACUAACGAGGGCACUGUGGCCGUGGACUGCGGCUGCCCCGCUGAUCAUUAAUGGGAGGCAGUGUGUGUGUCACAAAUACAAGCCUGACCCUGACAACAACAUGAGCGACGCAGAGGCAGCAGGGGGCCAGGGCACACUCUCUGCAGGGACAGGACUGAUUCACACGGUGCUGGAAGGGGGUGAAGCCAAAAGCCAGUGUUAAUUGAAGCCUAGCAGAAAAGGGAGCGAAACCAAGGCCGUUUAUCUACCAGUCAGUGCAGAGAGGACAGCUUUGAGUAUGAAAAAGAGGAACGGAAAGAGAAAAAAAGCAUCCCAUUUCAUCUCUGCAGGAACAUGACGGAGGAAUAAAAGCUAUACUAAAGUUCAAUGGUGCCUGUGAGUUUCUCUUCCUCCCGCAAUUUGUCACAAGCUGAGAGGUCCAUCCGAUUGGUGCACUCAGUUGUCCGGAUGAGUGCCUGAGGAGUUCGGUCAGGCGCACAGAUACGAUUCAGCAACAUGGUUCAGCAGCUCGCCAUGUGCCAUGCAGCUGGAAGUUUGAAAACAGCAGGCCACAGUCCCUGAGAGUAUUUGGAUGGAGUCGAG